Molecule: ribosomal RNA, 305 nt
Filed under: uncultured bacterium
Lineage: Bacteria
Description: bacterial SSU rRNA
Rfam family: Bacterial small subunit ribosomal RNA
Source: RNAcentral
CCUACGGGGCGCAGCAGUGGGGAAUAUUGCACAAUGGGGGAAACCCUGAUGCAGCGACGCCGCGUGAGUGAAGAAGUAUUUCGGUAUGUAAAGCUCUAUCAGCAGGAACGAGACAAGACGGUACCUGACUAAGAAGCCCCGGCUAACUACGUGCCAGCAGCCGCGGUAAUACGUAGGGGGCAAGCGUUAUCCGGAAUCACUGGGUGUAAAGGGUGCGUAGGCGGCCUGCUAAGUCUGGAGUGAAAGGUACCGGCUCAACCGGUACAGGCUCUGGAAACUGGCGGGCUAGAGAGCAGGAGAGGGCG